This 496-nucleotide ribosomal RNA is filed under the name uncultured bacterium. Its description in RNAcentral is "bacterial SSU rRNA". It matches the Rfam family "Bacterial small subunit ribosomal RNA", at positions 899 to 1397 of the family's 1533-position model. The record is from RNAcentral.
ACUCAAAGGAAUAGACGGGGACCCGCACAAGCAGCGGAGCAUGUGGUUUAAUUCGAAGCAACGCGAAGAACCUUACCUAGACUUGACAUGUCCUGAAUUACCAGUAAUGUGGGAAGUUCCUUCGGGAACAGGAACACAGGUGGUGCAUGGUUGUCGUCAGCUCGUGUCGUGAGAUGUUGGGUUAAGUCCCGCAACGAGCGCAACCCUUAUUGUUAGUUGGUACCAUUAAGUUGACCACUCUAGCGAGACUGCCCGGGUUAACCGGGAGGAAGGUGGGGAUGACGUCAAAUCAUCAUGCCCCUUAUGUCUAGGGCUACACACGUGCUACAAUGGCAAGUACAAAGAGAAGCAAUACUGUGAAGUGGAGCAAAACUCAAAAACUUGUCUCAGUUCGGAUUGUAGGCUGAAACUCGCCUACAUGAAGCUGGAGUUGCUAGUAAUCGCGAAUCAGAAUGUCGCGGUGAAUACGUUCCCGGGUCUUGUACACACCGCCCGU